Long non-coding RNA from Chenopodium quinoa (quinoa), 1243 nucleotides. RefSeq lists it as uncharacterized. The record is from RefSeq and is a predicted model, not a curated record. Lineage: Eukaryota; Viridiplantae; Streptophyta; Magnoliopsida; Caryophyllales; Amaranthaceae. The transcript is spliced from 4 exons.
UUACUUUUAAGGGUAUCAUUUGUUGUAUCUAGUCAACCUAUAUAGUGGAUGUAUAACAAGUAUUGUACAUACGAAUUUGUUUAUAGUUUAUGUUACAUUUUUUUUUUACAAAUAUAAAUAUAUAUUUUUUAGUCAAAGUUAAUCCCCAUUAUGUAAACUAAAACUUUGGUAACUUUAAUAAUUCCUCAAAUGUCAACAUUCUCCACGUCCCUAUUCACUAUUUGCAGCAGGGUGUAGGGUUCGAAUCCUAUCCCUUACCUUCACUAAAAAUUUGUAACUUUUUUCUGAUUUUUUUUUUAUAAUUUGUUUUCCCCAAAAGGUCCAUAUCCCUUGAAACCCUAACCCAUUUCCAUUCUUUAUCUCAUUCUCACUCUCUCUCCUUCCUCAUUCGGCGGCAAGAGGUAAGACUCCAAGCAAAAACUUGCUCACCUUCAUCCUUUGUUCAAGUUGAAGAAGAAUGUCAAUUAGGAGAUUUGAGUUCACAAUCGACACUCGUCGACGCUUACGAAAUGUGCCUCUUCCAAUGCGUAUGAGUCGUCGGGUUAAAGAAAUUUGUUCCAGGUCGAAUGAUCAACGUGAAGCAAAAUUCCACCUUCAAGUUGGAAGUGACCCAAACACAUACAUUGUGCAUUUGAAAGAUAUUACCUGGGGUGAUGGUCUGGUGGAAACUUAUUUAAGUGACGGAUGGGGGACUUUGUAAGCUCAAAAAACUUGAAAUUGGGAGACACUAUUCUGCUGUCAGUAGAGGAUUUGGAGGAAUUGGUGUAUAAGGUAAGGAUCUGGCGUGAUGAAAUUGAGUUAACAGCUGAAAAACCAAGCGUUCAAGGGGUAGAAGUGAACCAAACCCCCUCCUUCAUGUUCCAUUUCACUAAAGGCUACAUUGACAAACCGACAAUUAACGUUCCGACUCCCUUUGCUCGAGCACAUUUUGGAGACCUCGAAGACCCAUGUGAAGUUAAGUUGGUAUUGUCUUCGACCUAUGAUGCAACAAUGCAUAUUUAUUAUGAUUGCAAAGGCAGCAUUGUAGCUUGCAGCAUCAAGAGAGGAGUCAAAGAAUUCAUGGACGCCGAAGGUGUUAAACUCGGUGAGAAGGUUUUGGUUGAGUUGGUUCAAAUGGAUCCACAUGUUUUAAGUUUACGCUUUACUUGACUGACCAUCCUUAUGCAUCUCCUUGGUGUUUUUAACCACAUUUUGUGUGUUAUCAAACAAUAUUUCGGCUAUUAAGUAAUAGUGUUUUGGUGUA